This 459-nucleotide ribosomal RNA is filed under the name uncultured bacterium. RNAcentral describes it as "partial 16S ribosomal RNA". It matches the Rfam family "Bacterial small subunit ribosomal RNA", at positions 338 to 795 of the family's 1533-position model. The record is from RNAcentral.
ACUACGGGUGGCAGCAGUGAGGAAUAUUGGUCAAUGGGCGCGAGCCUGAACCAGCCAAGUCGCGUGAGGGAAGACGGUCCUAUGGAUUGAAAACCUCUUUUGUCGGGGAGCAAAAGACGCCACGUGUGGCGUUCCGAGAGUACCCGAAGAAAAAGCAUCGGCUAACUCCGUGCCAGCAGCCGCGGUAAUAAGGAGGAUGCGAGCGUUAUCCGGAUUUAUUGGGUUUAAAGGGUGCGCAGGCGGAAGAUCAAGUCAGCGGUAAAAUUGAGAGGCUCAACCUCUUCGAGCCGUUGAAACUGGUUUUCUUGAGUGAGCGAGAAGUAUGCGGAAUGCGUGGUGUAGCGGUGAAAUGCAUAGAUAUCACGCAGAACUCCGAUUGCGAAGGCAGCAUACCGGCGCUCAACUGACGCUCAUGCACGAAAGUGUGGGUAUCGAACAGGAUUAGAUACCCUGGUAGUC